RNAcentral lists this ribosomal RNA (962 nucleotides) under Tolypocladium capitatum. RNAcentral's name for it is "eukaryotic LSU rRNA". It matches the Rfam family "Eukaryotic large subunit ribosomal RNA", at positions 1 to 991 of the family's 3401-position model. Lineage: Eukaryota; Fungi; Ascomycota; Sordariomycetes; Hypocreales; Ophiocordycipitaceae. The record is from RNAcentral.
GUUGACCUCGGAUCAGGUAGGAAUACCCGCUGAACUUAAGCAUAUCAAUAAGCGGAGGAAAAGAAACCAACAGGGAUUGCCCCAGUAACGGCGAGUGAAGCGGCAACAGCUCAAAUUUGAAAUCUGGCCCCCCGGGGCCCGAGUUGUAAUUUGCAGAGGAUGCUUUUGGCGCGGCGCCUUCCGAGUUCCCUGGAACGGGACGCCACAGAGGGUGAGAGCCCCGUCUGGUCGGACGCCAAGCCGGUGUAAAGCUCCUUCGACGAGUCGAGUAGUUUGGGAAUGCUGCUCUAAAUGGGAGGUAUAUGUCUUCUAAAGCUAAAUACCGGCCAGAGACCGAUAGCGCACAAGUAGAGUGAUCGAAAGAUGAAAAGCACUUUGAAAAGAGGGUUAAACAGUACGUGAAAUUGUUGAAAGGGAAGCGCUCGUGACCAGACUUGGGCCCGGCGAAUCACCCAGCGUUCUCGCUGGUGCACUUGGUCGGGCUCAGGCCAGCAUCAGUUCGCCGCGGGGGACAAAGGCUUCGGGAACGUGGCUCCCCCGGGAGUGUUAUAGCCCGUUGCGCAAUGCCCUGCGGCGGACUGAGGUUCGCGCUCCGCAAGGAUGCUGGCGUAAUGGUCACCAGCGACCCGUCUUGAAACACGGACCAAGGAGUCGUCUUCGUAUGCGAGUGUUCGGGUGUCAAACCCCUACGCGUAAUGAAAGUGAAGGCAGGUGAGAGCUUCGGCGCAUCAUCGACCGAUCCUGAUGUUCUCGGAUGGAUUUGAGUAAGAGCAUACGGGGCCGGACCCGAAAGAAGGUGAACUAUGCCUGUGUAGGGUGAAGCCAGAGGAAACUCUGGUGGAGGCUCGCAGCGGUUCUGACGUGCAAAUCGAUCGUCAAACAUGGGCAUGGGGGCGAAAGACUAAUCGAACCUUCUAGUAGCUGGUUUCCGCCGAAGUUUCCCUCAGGAUAGCAGUGUUGAA